Molecule: ribosomal RNA, 468 nt
Filed under: uncultured bacterium
Lineage: Bacteria
Description: partial 16S ribosomal RNA
Rfam family: Bacterial small subunit ribosomal RNA
Source: RNAcentral
GACGAACGCUGGCGGCGUGCUUAACACAUGCAAGUCGAACGGAAAGGCCCUGCUUUUGUGGGGUGCUCGAGUGGCGAACGGGUGAGUAACACGUGAGUAACCUGCCCUUGACUUUGGGAUAACUUCAGGAAACUGGGGCUAAUACCGGAUAGGAGCUCCUGCUGCAUGGUGGGCGUUGGAAAGUUUCGGCGGUUGGGGAUGGACUCGCGGCUUAUCAGCUUGUUUGUGGGGUAGUGGCUUACCAAGGCUUUGACGGGUAGCCGGCAUGAGAGGGUGACCGGCGACAUUGGGACUGAGAUACGGCCCAGAAUCCUACGGGAGGCAGCAGUGGGGAAUAUUGCACAAUGGGCGGAAGCCUGAUGCAGAAACGCCGCGUGCGGGAUGACGGCCUUCGGGGUGUAAACAGAUUUCGCCUGUGACGAAGAGUGAGUGACGGUAAUGGGUAAAGAAGCAACGGCUAACUACGUG